RNAcentral lists this ribosomal RNA (716 nucleotides) under Bacillus sp. (in: firmicutes). RNAcentral describes it as "bacterial SSU rRNA". It matches the Rfam family "Bacterial small subunit ribosomal RNA", at positions 70 to 770 of the family's 1533-position model. Lineage: Bacteria; Bacillati; Bacillota; Bacilli; Caryophanales; Bacillaceae. The record is from RNAcentral.
GGAUGGGAGCUUGCUCCCUGAAAUCAGCGGCGGACGGGUGAGUAACACGUGGGCAACCUGCCUGUAAGACUGGGAUAACUUCGGGAAACCGGAGCUAAUACCGGAUAAUCCAUUCCCUCACAUGAGGGAAUGCUGAAAGACGGCUUUUAGCUGUCACUUACAGAUGGGCCCGCGGCGCAUUAGCUAGUUGGUGAGGUAACGGCUCACCAAGGCGACGAUGCGUAGCCGACCUGAGAGGGUGAUCGGCCACACUGGGACUGAGACACGGCCCAGACUCCUACGGGAGGCAGCAGUAGGGAAUCUUCCGCAAUGGACGAAAGUCUGACGGAGCAACGCCGCGUGAGUGAUGAAGGCCUUCGGGUCGUAAAGCUCUGUUGUUAGGGAAGAACAAGUAUCGGAGUAACUGCCGGUACCUUGACGGUACCUAACCAGAAAGCCACGGCUAACUACGUGCCAGCAGCCGCGGUAAUACGUAGGUGGCAAGCGUUGUCCGGAAUUAUUGGGCGUAAAGCGCGCGCAGGCGGUUCCUUAAGUCUGAUGUGAAAGCCCACGGCUCAACCGUGGAGGGUCAUUGGAAACUGGGGAACUUGAGUGCAGAAGAGAAGAGCGGAAUUCCACGUGUAGCGGUGAAAUGCGUAGAGAUGUGGAGGAACACCAGUGGCGAAGGCGGCUCUUUGGUCUGUAACUGACGCUGAGGCGCGAAAGCGUGGGGAGCG